Sphaerobolus stellatus SS14 is the source of this 81-nucleotide non-coding RNA. Lineage: Eukaryota; Fungi; Basidiomycota; Agaricomycetes; Geastrales; Sphaerobolaceae. The record is from the annotation of a GenBank genome assembly.
AUGGUAGUAGUAUAAUGGUAUCAUGUUACACUUUUACUUAGUAUGAUGUCUAGGCUGUGGGUUCAAUUCCUACUUGGUACA